RNAcentral lists this ribosomal RNA (468 nucleotides) under uncultured bacterium. RNAcentral's name for it is "partial 16S ribosomal RNA". It matches the Rfam family "Bacterial small subunit ribosomal RNA", at positions 28 to 507 of the family's 1533-position model. The record is from RNAcentral.
GACGAACGCUGGCGGCGUGCCUAACACAUGCAAGUCGAACGGAAAGGCCCUGCCUUUGUGCGGUGCUCGAGUGGCGAACGGGUGAGUAACACGUGAGUAACCUGCCCUUGACUUUGGGAUAACUUCAGGAAACUGGGGCUAAUACCGGAUAGGAGCUCCUGCUGCAUGGUGUGGGUUGGAAAGUUUCGGUGGUUGGGGAUGGACUCGCGGCUUAUCAGCUUGUUGGUGGGGUAGUGGCUUACCACGGCUUUGACGGGUAGCCGGCCUGAGAGGGUGACCGGCCACAUUGGGACUGAGAAACGGCCCAGACUGCUACGGGAGGCAGCAGUGGAGAAUAUUGCACGAUGGGCGGAAGGCUGAUGCAGCAACGUCGGGUGCGGGAUGACGGCUUUCGGGUAGUAAACCGCUUUCGCCUGGGACGAAGCGUGAGUGACGGUAAUUGAUAAAGAAGCACCGGCUAACUACGUG